CCCACCCACACACACCCUUUUUAAGGGCCUCCCACCCACCCACACACACACAUACACAGAUUGCGUACACUGGUGUCCCACACACACACACACACACACACACAGAUUGCGUACACUGGUGUCCCAUAAAUCCUGGCAGAGUUUGAUGAUGGGGGAAAUGUGUUCACAAGACGAUUUUCUCACCAACUCACGCAGACAAACAACCAGAUCACUGAAUAUAGGUUAUAGUAUGUUUCUACUACUGUGAGCUCAUGAGGUAAACAGCACUCUCAAGAGUGAGUAGGUAAGAACAUAUCCGUGAGUCUCGUCACACCGACAAUGCACACCUCUAACCUUUUUAUUGCAUACUCAGCAAAUGUCUCUUCCACAAAUCUGUCAUCAUACCUAUCGAGUGAACACAAAAACUGUUCUAGUUCCUGGAACAAUACGUACGGACAUUUCUCUCUCCAAUUUGGAAGGGAGGUGUUGGCUGCUCCUCUUGUUCUGAAUCUGCCCAAUUGGAUCUACUGGAAGUCGUGUCUGGCAACAAAUGACGAGGAGAUGAAAGCUGCUCUAGAAAUGAUAUAAAGAAAUUGACCCAUUAAUAUUUUUUCACCAUAAUUAUUUUAUUGACAAUGAUGAUCACAUUUUUGUACGCGUUGUAAUUAUAAUGUUGAUAAAAAAUUUUAUGUUUUCAUA
Halichondria panicea is the source of this 678-nucleotide long non-coding RNA. RefSeq lists it as uncharacterized. The transcript is spliced from 2 exons. The record is from RefSeq and is a predicted model, not a curated record. Lineage: Eukaryota; Metazoa; Porifera; Demospongiae; Suberitida; Halichondriidae.